UACGAAGGGGGCUAGCGUUGCUCGGAAUCACUGGGCGUAAAGGGUGCGUAGGCGGGUCUUUAAGUCAGGGGUGAAAUCCUGGAGCUCAACUCCAGAACUGCCUUUGAUACUGAGGAUCUUGAGUUCGGGAGAGGUGAGUGGAACUGCGAGUGUAGAGGUGAAAUUCGUAGAUAUUCGCAAGAACACCAGUGGCGAAGGCGGCUCACUGGCCCGAUACUGACGCUGAGGCACGAAAAGCGUGGGGGAGCAAACAGGG
This 256-nucleotide ribosomal RNA is filed under the name uncultured bacterium. RNAcentral describes it as "partial 16S ribosomal RNA". It matches the Rfam family "Bacterial small subunit ribosomal RNA", at positions 524 to 777 of the family's 1533-position model. The record is from RNAcentral.